UUCUGGGAGGAUUGACAGAUUGAGAGCUAUUUCUUGAUUCGGUAGAUGGUGGUGCAUGUCCGUUCUUAGUCGGUGGAGCGAUUUGUCUGGUUAAUUCCGAUGACGAACGAGACUCUAGCCCCGUGGUUGUCAAUGGGGGUCCGCGAAGGGCAUUCUGGGGUUCCGCGAAGGGCAUUCUGGGGUUCCGCGAAGCCCUGCGUCAUCGGUCGAGCCCUGCAAUAAAAGUUGUCUUAUUCAAGGUCGAGAAGAAAUGUUUCAGUCUUCGGGCGCGUUUUCUCGUGUGUAUGUCAAUGAGAGAAGUCUACUUCACACUAGCCCUUAGUAUAUCCAUUUAUCAAAUCAUUUUUAUACUUAACCUAUAAAUUUCCUCUCCUUUCACCACGAACGGGGUCCUUCAUCAUCUCCGCCGAUCCACAAGGGGUCCGCGAAACAUCGAUGGUUGAGAACCACUGCUCUAGUCUAUUAAAUAGGUGCGUGGUUCUCUGCACCUUGCACCCUUCUUAGAGGGAAAAGUGGCUCCCAGUCGCACGAAACAGAGCAAUAACAGGUCUGUGAUGCCCUUAGAU
RNAcentral lists this non-coding RNA (566 nucleotides) under Ixodes scapularis (black-legged tick). Its description in RNAcentral is "Eukaryotic small subunit ribosomal RNA". It matches the Rfam family "Eukaryotic small subunit ribosomal RNA", at positions 1229 to 1478 of the family's 1831-position model. The record is from Rfam by way of RNAcentral. Lineage: Eukaryota; Metazoa; Arthropoda; Arachnida; Ixodida; Ixodidae.